UAAAUAAAACAAUGUUGUGGGUUUGAGUUCUUUUUUAAAAUUGGGGAAGCACAAGAAGAAUUUGUCUUUGAAUUUGUCAAGGCAGAGAAUUCAUGAGCAAACACAUGGAGGAUUCAAAGCCAGUCUGGGUUCAUUGAAGCAAUUAAGAAAAACUGACUUUGACUGAUGUAAGUAGAAAGGAAAUGUCUUUGGAAGAAUGUUGAGAAGCAGAGAAGAAUUGAGGCCUGAUUGGCCUCCUCUGAGCACAAAGGAGAAAAGCUGCACUAAAGGGUGACUGCAUAUUAGGGAAAACUUAAGACAGCUGAGGUUAAGUUGUUUACCAGAGAAUAUACUAAUGGAUAUUGGAAACCAGAUGAAUGUUGUGUUACCUUGAUUGUGCCGGUGUUUGGGUGAAUAAAAGUGAGCUGAGCCAAAGGCUUGGGGCUCCUCUGCUUGCUAGAGAUACAUGUGCCCUGGCUGCCCGCAUGUUGAGCUGACUCCAUGUCUCUAUUAUUCAUCCUCAUUCAACCUACUGGGCAGGAAGAACAAAGGAGUGGCUCUGCAUGCAAGAGCAAGCCCGGCUGGCCGGCCUGGAGUCUGUAUUGGAAAAGGUGUAGGGGUAAAGGAAACCAGGAAGCAGGAACCACAGCCAAAGUUACUCCACAGUGCAACUUGACCUCAAAGACACUAUCCUCUGGAUGCUGGUGGUGUCCCUGCCACUGAAGAGGAUUCUGGGUACUACUGUUCCUGUUGGAAAGAAUUCUGCAACACAAGAGGGAGGCUUCAAAGGUAACUCUGGGCAGUGGUAUGGUCAGAGGUGUUUCAGCAAGAAUCCUGGGAGCUCUAUAAGAGGAAAUAAAGUGAAGAAAGAGAUUACUGUCAGACCCCCGCCCAGGCAGAAGAGAAAAAACUUCCCAGGCAAUGCAGUUACACAUCCUGCAAGGCGCAAAGGAUAACAGGAAGCCAAGGCCCAGGUUUGAGAUAAGCAGCCUGGCUCUCAUGCAGCAACACCUGCGGGCCCAGACACCCCUGGAGACCACCAGCCUUCCUCUGCCCGAGAACAAAAGACUUCCUCCACUCCAGGACAAAAAUUUCCCACUCCUCCUGGCACUACCCCUCCCCUACCCAAACUCCCCUAUAAAGUUUCCCCUUGCCUAAGUCCCCAGGAUCAAUGGCUUUGUUGCCCUUGACUAGCCUGCACCUGGGCUAGAAAUAAAACCUCACUUGUUGCUUCCUUUUUGCCUGCUCUGGUGGUCUCGGUUGUGCCUCGGUUUACCCUAACAAUUACUACUUCACAGUGUGCCCUUAACCACAUAGUGAAUGCAGAGGGGGAACAGGAAGAAGCUAGAAAGAAGAAAAUGAGCUAGGUGUUAGUCAGUGGAGGUCAAAGAGCAGAUAUAGGGCCAGGGAUUUAGCUCAGUGGUUUCGCUGCCUGCUGUGCAAGCGCAAGGACCCAAGUUCAAUCCCCGGUACCAAAAAACAAAACAAAAAAACCAGAUAUAUUCAGUGGGCAGUUAGAGGUUUAAACUCACAAGAUAGAUCACAAAGAUGAGAGAAUGGGGUGUGAGGGAUUUAGCUCAGUGGUUCCGCCACCUGCCUCGCAAGUGCAAGGUCCCAAGUUCGAUCCCCAGUACCAAAAAAAGUUAACAUACUAGAGAAUGAGCUGGAUGGUUGAUCCAUAGUUAUGGAUUGAAUAUGGUUUUCAUCAAAUAAAGUCCAUGAGGCAUACUAUAAAGUGAUCACGUUAUUUAACAUAAUAACUGAAUGAGGUACA
Molecule: long non-coding RNA, 1753 nt
Organism: Heterocephalus glaber (naked mole-rat)
Lineage: Eukaryota; Metazoa; Chordata; Mammalia; Rodentia; Bathyergidae
Source: Ensembl